Molecule: ribosomal RNA, 534 nt
Filed under: Limosilactobacillus mucosae
Lineage: Bacteria; Bacillati; Bacillota; Bacilli; Lactobacillales; Lactobacillaceae
Description: bacterial SSU rRNA
Rfam family: Bacterial small subunit ribosomal RNA
Source: RNAcentral
UGCUAUACAUGCAGUCGACGCGUUGGCCCAACUGAUUGAACGUGCUUGCACGGACUUGACGUUGGUUUACCAGCGAGUGGCGGACGGGUGAGUAACACGUAGGUAACCUGCCCCAAAGCGGGGGAUAACAUUUGGAAACAGAUGCUAAUACCGCAUAACAAUUUGAAUCGCAUGAUUCAAAUUUAAAAGAUGGCUUCGGCUAUCACUUUGGGAUGGACCUGCGGCGCAUUAGCUUGUUGGUAGGGUAACGGCCUACCAAGGCUGUGAUGCGUAGCCGAGUUGAGAGACUGAUCGGCCACAAUGGAACUGAGACACGGUCCAUACUCCUACGGGAGGCAGCAGUAGGGAAUCUUCCACAAUGGGCGCAAGCCUGAUGGAGCAACACCCCGUGAGUGAAGAAGGGUUUCGGCUCGUAAAGCUCUGUUGUUAGAGAAGAACGUGCGUGAGAGCAACUGUUCACGCACUGACCGUAUCUAACCAGAAAGUCACGGCUAACUACGUGCCAGCAGCCGCGGUAAUACGUAGGUGGCAAGC